CCCUCCUCCCUGUGCCGCGAGAGCUGCGCGGGCUCUGCCCCUCUAUGUGCGGUGUGCGGUCGGUGUGACCCCGCCGCCCCGCCUCCGGGGCGCCACUUCUUUCUCCCGGGAUCCGGCCGAGGAAGGAGCCGGGUUAGGAGACCACGGACAGGUUGGCGCUCGCAGGAUUCUCUGCCCGGGGGAUCUGUUUAGGAGCAGAUGGCCCCGACACUACCAAGAACCCAGAUCCAGGCAAGUUCGGGAUUUCCUUUCAUCUGAGAAAUCGCCAUGCGUUUCUGAGUUUUGGCUUUAUGCUUCUUUCCCCAAGUUUCUCUGUCCUGUGUGCAGACCAAGGCAGGUGAGCCAAAUCUGGAUGGAUCCCAACUCUUCAGGGAAGGGACCCCUCUUCCCUGUCAUCCCUUCCUGUCCUUCUCCCCACCCAUUAUGUAGUCAUUCACCAAAUGGAUCAUUGCUCUCCAUGUUUUCUAGAGUGCUAGCAUCUGAAAAAAAACUUUGUACAAAAGGCAUACUUUUUGCCUCAAGCUCCUUUCACAGAAGUUGAAAAACAGUGGCAUGUAAAGUCAGUCACCAGCGAGUGGGACACAUGACAGAUGGUAGAAAUCUCUUGAGCAUCAGGGAUCUGGACGCUUCUGGGUUGUGCGAUGGUGGUCAUUUGAGCUCUGCCUGAAGAAUAAAUGAACUUUGCAUAAUUGGAGAGGAGAGGGCAUGGCUGCAUGCACAAAGCUGACCAAGGCUGAACUAUGAACAGUCUAGCUCAGAGAAAGUUGGAACCAUUCAAGGUCUAGAAUGCUGGGCCGGGGUUUGCCUUUGUCCUGGAGAAAGCUGGGAUUGAAGGAUUUUAAGGCAUUGAUGGGAAGUAAUCCACAUUUUGAAAGGAAGUAAUACUUAAUAUUUGAUUAUUUUAGAUAUGGUUUAUUUAUUUUUUCAUAUACAAACAGUAACAAAGAAAACUUUAAAAAAUUAAAACUCACCCACUUUCCUAUCACUCUGAUCAAGCACAUUAUUUUGUUUGAAAUGUCUUUGCAGAUGUAUUUUUUUAGGCUUAUUUUUUCCUUUUAAUAGGUCACAGCCAUAGUAUCCAAUUUGUACUAGAGUCUUGUUGCUAAUUGUUACAGCUGCUUUUUAUACUCUUUCCUCCAGUAGCCCUGGGACUUGAGCAAGUUCUCUCCACCCUCUGAGCUUUAGUAUCUGUAGCCACAAAAUAGCCGCAAGAAUGCCUUAUCCAGUUGGGAAAAUUCAGAGAGAUGCUGUGUGUCUUAGGGCUUAGCACUGUGCCUGCUACACAUUCAGUUGCUAACACUCUAAAAGGCAAUUCUGUUUUUAAAGAUCCUAUCCCAGAGUCAGACCAGGGUCAGCUUAAGGCCUAGCAUGAAGCCAGCAUCACUCUGCGUGCCCUUUCAGUGUCCCUUCAUUUGUGGGUUGUACAUAUUUGCAGCAUGUCCUUGGGUGCCAGAUGGCAGUGACCCAAGCAAUCCCCUCCCUCCUGGGGCCCACAUUUGAGGAAGAGGAUGCUGACAGUCCAUAGCAACCCCUCCUGCCAGGCAGCGAGGAGUCCUGGGAAGAAAAAUCAAGCUGGGUCAUACACUGGAGAGGGGGAGGAGAAAAGAGAAGACCUUUCUGUGAGGUAACAUUUAAGGAAAGGCCUGCUGGGCAUGCUGGUGGAAUUCCAGGGGGCCAGGUGACUGAGGCAGUUGCUGUCCCCCUCCCCACUCGACCCUGGGUUUUCCGGCUUCUAGAUUUUUCGUUGUUCUUUCCUAUGAGGCAAGUGGGCUCUCUGAGUCUGAAAUCUGCUCCCCCUCCUUUGUUAGCUGUGUCCUCCUUCCCUCCCG
Molecule: long non-coding RNA, 1829 nt
Organism: Dasypus novemcinctus (nine-banded armadillo)
Lineage: Eukaryota; Metazoa; Chordata; Mammalia; Cingulata; Dasypodidae
Source: Ensembl